Regulatory RNA element from Actinomyces massiliensis F0489, 165 nucleotides. It matches the Rfam family "c-di-AMP riboswitch aptamer (ydaO/yuaA leader)". From Rfam's summary of the family: This family represents a conserved RNA structure found upstream of the ydaO and yuaA genes in Bacillus subtilis and related genes in other bacteria. The ydaO/yuaA element is thought to act as a genetic "off" switch for the ydaO and yuaA genes in its native state. It is believed that the element may be triggered during osmotic shock leading to activation of ydaO, a predicted amino acid transporter gene, and members of the yuaA-yubG operon which code for KtrA and KtrB K+ transporters. Lineage: Bacteria; Bacillati; Actinomycetota; Actinomycetes; Actinomycetales; Actinomycetaceae. The record is from Rfam.
UCCAUUCCCAAGCACAAUCAUCGGCAGGCCCGGGGGAACCACUUCUCCGGUCCGAUCCGGCUCAUCCGGUCGGCUCGGACCUUGGGGUGAAGCCCGCGCAAGCGGGCCGGGCGUCUCCCGCCCGAACCCGACAGCUAACUCCGUCGGCUCAUCAGGAGAAAAUCA